AUUGAACGCUGGCGGCAGGCCUAACACAUGCAAGUCGAGCGGAUGAAGGGAGCUUGCUCCUGGAUUCAGCGGCGGACGGGUGAGUAAUGCCUAGGAAUCUGCCUGGUAGUGGGGGAUAACGUCCGGAAACGGUCGCUAAUACCGCAUACGUCCUGAGUGAGAAAGUGGGGGAUCUUCGGACCUCACGCUAUCAGAUGAGCCUAGGUCGGAUUAGCUAGUUGGUGGGGUAAAGGCCUACCAAGGCGACGAUCCGUAACUGGUCUGAGAGGAUGAUCAGUCACACUGGAACUGAGACACGGUCCAGACUAAUACGGGAGGCAGCAGUGGGGAAUAUUGGACAAUGGGCGAAAGCCUGAUCCAGCCAUGCCGCGUGUGUGAAGAAGGGAUUCGGAUUGUAAAGCACUUUAAGUUGGGAGGAAGGGCAGUAAGUUAAUACCUUGCUGUUUUGACGUUACCAACAGAAUAAGCACCGGCUAACUUCGUG
RNAcentral lists this ribosomal RNA (484 nucleotides) under uncultured bacterium. RNAcentral's name for it is "partial 16S ribosomal RNA". It matches the Rfam family "Bacterial small subunit ribosomal RNA", at positions 30 to 507 of the family's 1533-position model. The record is from RNAcentral.